GAUUUCUUAUUUGUAUGUGUCUUCAAAGUUUCUUCCAUAACCCAACUACUAUUUUCUUCCCACCAACCUCUUUGAGGACACCAUCAUCGAGACUUAAGAUAAUGACACUAUAUGCCCUAUCUAGAAUGUUCAUCAUCUGAGACUUUUCUUGGUUUCUUGGAUGAAGAUGGUUCUCCAAGAGCCUCUUCUAGUCCUUGAUGUACUAGAAGUGCUCUCAUCUUGAGCCUCCAAAGAUGAAAGUCAUUUUCCCUUGUAAACUUAUCAACUUCACGCUUUGACAUUGACAUUUUGAAGAUCUAAAGCCUAAAAGAGUGGCUCUGAUACCAGUUUGUUGUGAGGGAACUAGCAAGAUGCUGACUUAAUCUACCCGAAAACUGAAUUUUAAUACUUUUAGAUCUUAAAACUUUCCCAAGAACUGAAAACUUCAUCAAAGUGUUUUAGGUUUAUUUAACCCCAAAACAACAAGAAUUAAUCUCAGAUAACAAAAUAAGAAUCAAAGGUUCAAUGCAAAGAGAAUUAAGUGGUUUGGCUAAAUUAAGCCUACAUCCAGUGUGCAAAGGGAAGCAAGAUUUCAUUGUUCUCAAGUUUUUGGAAUACAAAGCUUCUAAGAGAAAGUAACAGAAAAUCCACUAAUAAAUUACAAAACCCUCUUUAUAUACAGAGAAAUCAGCCUUGAAAGUUCCAUUAGAGAUCAGCUUAUGGUUUAUGAGUUUGUUAGCUGAAGAACCCCGAGACUUCUACUCGAUUUAACGGCCUUACUAGCCAUUCGAAUUAAAACGGCAAAUGAAUAUGUCGUCUAGAGUAAGUGAUGCGCGUGCUAUACCACGUUUAUUACUUAUUGAAUUAGCUAGUAGUAAGCAAGUGUUAUACAACUCCUAGAAAUCUAGCAACUGAUAUGUGAUAUACAACCUCCACCUAGAAAUGGCUUGUUAGCUCCAACCAUAACCCAGAUUUGAGAUUUACACAUCAAUAAUAAGACUCAAAAUACAAACGGCUGAGGUGGCAUAUAAAUUUAAUGGUAACAAGCCCAUUAAAAGGAGGCUCACGUGCACGAAACCAAGUCCAAGAGAGGAGCUUGUUUUGAAAAUCUAUUAAUUCACGCACAAGGGACCAUAAAUCAUGCCCACUAUUUAGUUAUAAAAUUAAGUUUACAAGUCCCUAUCUUUAAAGCUAUAUAUCAAUUAUUUUUAUGGAAUAAAGACUUUGUUGUUUAAAAAAAUUAAUUGUAUAAUCUUACUAACUAAUUAAUGCAAGCCACAUAAUUUGGGAUGAUUUCUUGGGAUAAAAAAUUUGAGAUGUGUAACAUUACUCUUAUAUAUAAACAUACAACAUAUUCGGAAGUUAUGAACUGUAUAUUGGUGGGGUUGUGGAGACUUCCCACGCCAUAUCAAGUAUUCAUGGGGGGAUUGUGGGAUCUAUAGCUCAGCUCCCCUGAUAGAAGCUCGACAGGCUCGUAGUUAGGGCCGGCUUUAGAGUUUGAGGG
Molecule: long non-coding RNA, 1483 nt
Filed under: Citrus x clementina
Lineage: Eukaryota; Viridiplantae; Streptophyta; Magnoliopsida; Sapindales; Rutaceae
Description: Citrus clementina (C. clementina) long non-coding RNA (CCLE_LNC001197)
Source: RNAcentral